AGCUGAAUAGCUAGCUAAGACACUAAAACGCAACAACCCAAUAUUAAUAAACCCUAACAACCUAAUCAACCUAAAACAAACCAUUUUACCCCCUAAGUAUGGGAGACAGAAAAGGAAACACUAAGCAAUAGAGAAAGUACCGCAAGGGAAAGCUGAAAGAGAAAUGAAACAAAUCAGUGAAGCACAGAGAAGCAGAGCUAAAACCUCGUACCUUUUGCAUCAUGAUUUAGCAAGAAAAACUCAGGCAAAAAGCAUUAUAGUCUGAUUCCCCGAAACCAAGUGAGCUACUCCAAGACAGCCUUAUGGGCGAACCCGUCUCUGUGGCAAAAGAGUGGGACGAGCUUUGAGUAGAGGUGACAGACCUACCGAACUUGGUUAUAGCUGGUUGUCCAAGAACUGAACAGGAGUUCAGCCCUUUAACUUCUUUCCCCAAUAACCCUCUCAUCACACCUACGUGCAAAAGAAACUAAAGGAGUUAAUCAAAGGGGGUACAGCCCCUUUGAUAACAGACACAACUUUACCAGAAGGGUAAAGAUCAUAUCACAAACAAGGAGUAGUGUUCUAGUUGGCCUAAAAGCAGCCACCCAUGCAGAAAGCGUUAAAGCUCAUACACCUCCCCCGCCUAUUAUUCAGACCAACCGAUUCUUACCCCUCUACCCCUAUUGGACCUCUCCAUUUUCAUGGAAGAGAUUAUGCUAGAAUGAGUAAUAAGAGACCAAUGCAUCUCUCCUUGCACAAGUAUAAAUCGGAACGAACCCACACCGAAAAUUAACGGCCCCAAAGAAGAGGGAAUUAGGACAACAGGGAUAAACCUCAAGAAAAAGACCUAAAACGAAACCGUUGACCUUACACUAGCGUGCCCACAAGGAAAGACUAAAAGAAAAAGAAGGAACUCGGCA
RNAcentral lists this ribosomal RNA (899 nucleotides) under Cercamia cladara (frail cardinalfish). RNAcentral describes it as "partial 16S ribosomal RNA". The stretch from base 190 to 899 matches the Rfam family "Bacterial large subunit ribosomal RNA", at positions 568 to 1719 of the family's 2925-position model. Lineage: Eukaryota; Metazoa; Chordata; Actinopteri; Kurtiformes; Apogonidae. The record is from RNAcentral.